RNAcentral lists this ribosomal RNA (253 nucleotides) under uncultured bacterium. Its description in RNAcentral is "partial 16S ribosomal RNA". It matches the Rfam family "Bacterial small subunit ribosomal RNA", at positions 524 to 776 of the family's 1533-position model. The record is from RNAcentral.
UACGUAGGGGGCAAGCGUUGUCCGGAAUCAUUGGGCGUAAAGAGCGUGUAGGCGGCCAGAUAAGUCCGCUGUGAAAACUCGAGGCUCAACUUCGAGCUGUCGGUGGAAACUAUUUGGCUAGAGUCCGGAAGAGGAGAGUGGAAUUCCUGGUGUAGCGGUGAAAUGCGCAGAUAUCAGGAAGAACACCCGUGGCGAAGGCGGCUCUCUGGUACGGAACUGACGCUGAGACGCGAAAGCGUGGGGAGCAAACAGG